This 351-nucleotide ribosomal RNA is filed under the name uncultured bacterium. RNAcentral describes it as "bacterial SSU rRNA". It matches the Rfam family "Bacterial small subunit ribosomal RNA", at positions 355 to 705 of the family's 1533-position model. The record is from RNAcentral.
UAAGGAAUAUUGCUCAAUGGGAGAAAUCCUGAAGCAGCAACGCCGCGUGGAGGAUGAAGGGUCUAUGACUUGGAAACUCCUGUAAAGAAGGAAAAAAUUCCCAUUAGAUGGGAGAUGCUGGUACUUCUGGAGUAAGCCCCGGCUAACUACGUGCCAGCAGCCGCGGUAAUACGUAGGGGGCAAGCGUUGUCCGGAUUUACUGGGUGUAAAGGGUGCUCAGGCGGAUUUGUAAGUCAGAGGUGAAAUCUUACAGCUUAACUGUGAACCUGCCUUUGAUGCUGCAAGCCUAGAGUAUGGCAGAGAGUGAUGGAAUAUCUGGUGUAGCAGUGAAAUGCGUAGAUAUCAGAUAGA